GGAGCUGGAGCUCAGUGGUAGAGUGCUUGCCUGGUGUGCAUGGGGCCCUAGGUUCAAUUCCCAGCACUGCCA
Molecule: non-coding RNA, 72 nt
Organism: Mesocricetus auratus (golden hamster)
Lineage: Eukaryota; Metazoa; Chordata; Mammalia; Rodentia; Cricetidae
Source: Rfam